This 250-nucleotide long non-coding RNA is filed under the name Mytilus galloprovincialis (Mediterranean mussel). Lineage: Eukaryota; Metazoa; Mollusca; Bivalvia; Mytilida; Mytilidae. The record is from RNAcentral.
UUUGUCUUUGAGCAAUUCACUAUGCUGUUGAAUAUUAAUCCUCUCAAAAAAAUGUUUGAAGAAAUUUUCUUUUUAUUUAUGAAAUCUGAAAUGAGAAAAAUUUAACCCCCCCCCCCCCCCCCAUUUUUUUUUUUUUUUUCACAUCCCCCUUUCCCUUUUUCCAAAACUGAUCUCAAUUCAAAUUUCUAAUGGAGUUUGCAACAAUAACUACUCUUAAAUACAUCAUAAAAUAUUAAAAUGUAAAAUAAAG